This is a long non-coding RNA of Spinacia oleracea (spinach), 516 nucleotides long. RefSeq lists it as uncharacterized. The transcript has 3 exons. NCBI's taxonomy places the organism in Eukaryota, Viridiplantae, Streptophyta, Magnoliopsida, Caryophyllales, Amaranthaceae. The record is from RefSeq and is a predicted model, not a curated record.
GUCGGCAUAUAACUUAAAAAAAAAAUCAACUUCACCAGUUCCCUUUUCUCUCUCCUCCAUUGGAACUACUCCUUCAGUCUCUACUUCGACGAUUCAGGAUUGUUUUUUCAAUUCAUUUACUCGGUCUUUCAAAUUACAUACGGCUGAACCAAGAUUACAUACGGCUGAACUAAGAAUUCAAAGAUAGCUUGUUCACCAUUAUCUUUCAAUAUCAAUAGAGAAGGAUUGAAUAUAGCAGAGAAAAGAAAAGGAGACGACUUAGAGGAGUUCUUGCAAUUCAAGCGUGUUGUUCAUCAUUGGAGGUUGUAUUUUGUGGAUGAAGAAGGUAAAGGAGAUUCUCAUAUAUAAUUGGAUUUUUAUGAAUAUGUAAAUGUGUAUUUUUUUUGUAAUAUUUUUAGAUUGCAUCCUUUGUCAAUGUAAACAUUAAAAUUUAUCACACGGUUAGACUAUAGCUUUGUAAAUUUCUUCAUCUUUUAUAUAAUAUACUCCCUCCAUAUUUUUUAGGGGUUACAUGUA